Non-coding RNA from Odocoileus virginianus texanus, 274 nucleotides. The record is from RefSeq and is a predicted model, not a curated record. Lineage: Eukaryota; Metazoa; Chordata; Mammalia; Artiodactyla; Cervidae.
GUGUCCACCCUGCUAUUAAUAAGGAUUAGAUCUCCAUACUUGCUUCCAGCUGUCUCAUCUAGACCCUGGGAAAUCUUAUCAUGAAACAAAAGCUGUUCUCCAACUUUGCUGCCAGCCACUGACUCUACAUUAAUCAGGAGCCAGAUUCCUUGAAUUCUUGGAAAGCAAAACAGAAGAAUCCCUGACUAAAGGCUUUCUGUGACCUGAAUAUGGCCUUAUUUGGAAAUGUCUCUGCCAGUACAGUCGAAUUAAAAUGAGAUCAUACUGGAUUAGG